This is a long non-coding RNA of Prionailurus viverrinus (fishing cat), 1422 nucleotides long. RefSeq lists it as uncharacterized. Lineage: Eukaryota; Metazoa; Chordata; Mammalia; Carnivora; Felidae. The transcript has 5 exons. The record is from RefSeq and is a predicted model, not a curated record.
CUCUGCAAAAAUGUUAUUUCGACGAACGCAAGGCCGAGACUAUCUUGUUCACUGUCAUAUCAUCAGCCCCUAGCGAAAUGACUAAGUAUAUAGUAAGAGCUUAAGAAGUAUUUAAUGAAUUGAAUUGAAAUUGAAAUUCCGUAUUCCCUUUGUAAAAGGCAACUGUCCUUGAAAUGAGCAACACGCUAAACCAUGUUAUACUAAAGCUGUAUAUUCUCAGGCAAAAUCCUAGAAGGCAAUGUUGGACAAGAAAGUUAUGUACAAAUGGUAUAAAGAGGCUUCAAACAGUAUGGAUGUCUUCGGUUGAGAUUAACUGGAUAUGGUUUCUCAUUACAAAGUUAAAACGUUGUGGAGAGGCAAGAGUGAAUGACGGCAUUACAUCACUAACCACCAGCCACCAUCUUUUGGACUGAUGGUCAUUGCAUAGUCAGGAAGCAUCAGCAGGAUCUCUAUCUGCAACUCUACCCUACUUUGCUCCAGAAAUACAAGAACUAGUGAUUUCUCCUGGUGACUGUUCCAUACACGGACCAGAGAUAGUCUUCCUGCACAUAAGACCAGUUGCAGAUUGGCUGGCCUUCCCUUCCAUCUGCUAUUCUCCCCACCGUCCAACCUUUGUCUUGACUGUAAUCACAUGAUAUUUUCUGAGCCAAAAGUGUCCAACUGACCCAGAAUUCCUGAGCCACAACACAGCUUCAACAUGACAAAAGCUUGGAUGUCAUCAUUCCGGUCCUUAAACAAGAAAAAGCUUCAUGAACUGAAGAACAAUAACUUUUCUGGGACCAAUCAGAAAACUGAGAUUGUAGGGCAAACUAACAUCCCCAAAUUUAUAGACAUAGCUAUAUAGAGAGUCUCAGUUGAAAUCUGCUUAUCUGGAGCAGGAGCUGCUGAAGCCAUAAAAUGUUCCUAGUGCCUUAUACAACACAUCUGGCUUUCAAUAAAAUGUUUCAAGGCAUUCCACAAAAAUAGGGAAAAUCAACAAAAGCAAAAGCUGGUUCUCUGAGUUGAUAAAUACAACUAAUAAACCUGUAGCCAGACUAACCAAGAAAAAAAUAGAGAAGAUGCAAACUUCCAGUAUCAGAAACAAAAGAGGAUCCAUCACUAUAGAUCUCCUAGACAUUAAAAGGACAAUGAAGGAAUACUGCCAACAAUCCUAUGCCUACAAAUCUGCUAGUUUAGUGAAAGGGACUAACUCCUUGAAAGAUACAAUCUACCGAAGCGGACACAGGGAGAAGCAGAUAACCUAAAUAGUUCUAUUAGUAUUAAAGAUAUUGGAUCAAUAAUAAAUACCCUUCCCAAAAGGAGAACACCAGGCCCAGAUAGUUUCACUGUUGAAGUCUAUCAGUACUUAAGAGAUAAUACCACAUUUCAUAAUCUCUUCCAGAAAAUUAUAUCAGAGGAAGCACUUCCUAACAUUCAGUAGGC